RNAcentral lists this ribosomal RNA (258 nucleotides) under Xanthorhoe hortensiaria. RNAcentral's name for it is "partial 28S rRNA". It matches the Rfam family "Eukaryotic large subunit ribosomal RNA", at positions 95 to 334 of the family's 3401-position model. The record is from RNAcentral. Lineage: Eukaryota; Metazoa; Arthropoda; Insecta; Lepidoptera; Geometridae.
GAACAGGAAAUAGCCCAGCACUGAAUCCCGUCGUUGUAACGGCGGCGGGAGAUGUGGUGUUCGGGAGGUUCCGCUUUCUUGUCGUCGUCCACUCCUGUCCAAGUUCGUCUUGAACGGGGCCCAUUUCCCAUAGAGGGUGCCAGGCCCGUAGCGACGGAGGACGGCGGCGAGAGGGACUCUCCUCAGAGUCGGGUUGCUUGAGAGUGCAGCCCUAAGUGGGUGGUAAACUCCAUCUAAGGCUAAAUAUUACCGCGAGAC